RNAcentral lists this ribosomal RNA (504 nucleotides) under uncultured bacterium. Its description in RNAcentral is "partial 16S ribosomal RNA". It matches the Rfam family "Bacterial small subunit ribosomal RNA", at positions 30 to 523 of the family's 1533-position model. The record is from RNAcentral.
AUUGAACGCUGGCGGCAUGCCUAACACAUGCAAGUCGAACGGUAGCACAGAGAGCUUGCUCUCGGGUGACGAGUGGCGGACGGGUGAGUAAUGUCUGGGAAACUGCCCGAUGGAGGGGGAUAACUACUGGAAACGGUAGCUAAUACCGCAUAACGUCGCAAGACCAAAGUGGGGGACCGUCGGGCCUCACACCAUCGGAUGUGCCCAGAUGGGAUUAGCUAGUAGGUGGGGUAAUGGCUCACCUAGGCGACGAUCCCUAGCUGGUCUGAGAGGAUGACCAGCCACACUGGAACUGAGACACGGUCUAGACUCCUACGGGAGGCAGCAGUGGGGAAUAUUGCACAAUGGGCGCAAGCCUGAUGCAGCCAUGCCGCGUGUAUGAAGAAGGCCUUCGGGUUGUAAAGUACUUUCAGCGGGGAGGAAGGCGGUGAAGUUAAUAGCUUCACCGAUUGACGUUACCCGCAGAAGAAGCACCGGCUAACUCCGUGCCAGCAGCCGCCGUAA